UACAGAGGUCCCGAGCGUUGUUCGGAUUCACUGGGCGUAAAGGGUGCGCAGGUGGGUUUGCAAGUUUGAUGUGAAAGCCCCGGGCUUAACCCGGGAAUGGCAUUGAAUACUGCAGAUCUGGAGGAUCGGAGGGGGAACUGGAAUUCUCGGUGUAGCAGUGAAAUGCGUAGAGAUCGAGAGGAACACCAGUGGCGAAGGCGAGUUCCUGGACAACACCUGACACUGAGGCACGAAAGCCGGGGGAGCAAACAGG
This 253-nucleotide ribosomal RNA is filed under the name uncultured prokaryote. Its description in RNAcentral is "partial 16S ribosomal RNA". It matches the Rfam family "Bacterial small subunit ribosomal RNA", at positions 524 to 776 of the family's 1533-position model. The record is from RNAcentral.